GACGAACGCUGGCGGCGUGCUUAACACAUGCAAGUCGAACGGAAAGGCUCUGCUUCUGUGGGGUGCUCGAGUGGCGAACGGGUGAGUAACACGUGAGUAACCUGCCUUCGACAUUGGGAUAACUUCAGGAAGCUGGGGCUAACACCGGAUAGGAGCUCGCGCUGCAUGGUGGGGGUUGGAUAGUUUGGGCGGUUUGGGAUGGUUUGGCGGCUUAUUUGCUUGUUGGUGGGGUAGUGGCUUACUAAGGGCUUGACGGGUCGACGGCCUGGGGGGGUGACCGGCGACAUGGGGCCUGAGGUACGGCGCAGACUCCAACGGGAGGCAGCAGGCGGAAGUAUUACGCAGUGAGCGCGAGCCUGAGACGACAGCGCCGCGUGCGUAAUGACGGCCUUCGGGGUAUAAACCACUUUGGCCUAUGACGAAGCGUGAGUGACGGUAAUUGGUAAAGAAGCACCGGCUAACUACGUG
RNAcentral lists this ribosomal RNA (468 nucleotides) under uncultured bacterium. Its description in RNAcentral is "partial 16S ribosomal RNA". It matches the Rfam family "Bacterial small subunit ribosomal RNA", at positions 28 to 507 of the family's 1533-position model. The record is from RNAcentral.